UGGGGAAUCUUGGACAAUGGGCGCAAGCCUGAUCCAGCCAUGCCGCGUGCAGGAUGACGGUCCUAUGGAUUGUAAACUGCUUUUGUACGGAACGAAAAGGCUCUUUCUAAUAAAGAGGGCCCAUGACGGUACCGUAAGAAUAAGCACCGGCUAACUACGUGCCAGCAGCCGCGGUAAUACGUAGGGUGCGAGCGUUAAUCGGAAUUACUGGGCGUAAAGCGUGCGCAGGCGGUUCUAUAAGACAGAUGUGAAAUCCCCGGGCUCAACCUGGGAAUGGCAUUUGUGACUGUAGAGCUAGAGUGUGUCAGAGGGGGGUAGAAUUCCACGUGUAGCAGUGAAAUGCGUAGAUAUGUGGAGGAAUACCGAUGGCGAAGGCAGCCCCCUGGGAUAACACUGACGCUCAUGCACGAAAGCGUGGGGAGCAAACAGGAUUAGAUACCCCCGUAGUCCCUGAGCGGGCUGGCAAGGCGCAU
This 473-nucleotide ribosomal RNA is filed under the name uncultured bacterium. RNAcentral describes it as "bacterial SSU rRNA". It matches the Rfam family "Bacterial small subunit ribosomal RNA", at positions 355 to 825 of the family's 1533-position model. The record is from RNAcentral.